Eucalyptus grandis is the source of this 346-nucleotide long non-coding RNA. RefSeq lists it as uncharacterized. NCBI's taxonomy places the organism in Eukaryota, Viridiplantae, Streptophyta, Magnoliopsida, Myrtales, Myrtaceae. The record is from RefSeq and is a predicted model, not a curated record. The transcript has 3 exons.
AUGUCGGUUGGCAUUCAGAAUCUAUAGGUUAAACCACCUUGUUCUUUCACUCCUCAAGAAAUUGAUCACCUGACAGUAACAUCUCACAUCCAAAAUGGUGGGACGGUACUGUUGAAAAAUUAUGACAUGACGUAUUAGCCUUCACCUCCCUGCUUCCUUACAUUUUGUCGGGAAGCCAACAGAAUUGUGUAUGUCUGUGCUUUGACAACUUUCAGGCUAAAGCUGAAGCUAGCUCUGCAACUCUCUCUAUGGCAGGCUUAUGCUGUUGUGAAGUUUGCCAAUACAUGCCUGCGUGGGUUGAGGGGCAAUGCUGGCAUUGUCGAAGUGUGCAUUUGUUGCUUCUCAG